CAGAGUCACGUAGUUUGAUCCGUGGCUCAGAACGAACGCUGGCGGCAUGCCUAACACAUGCAAGUCGAACGAGACCUUCGGGUCUAGUGGCGCACGGGUGCGUAACGCGUGGGAACCUGCCUUUAGGUUCGGAAUAACUCAGAGAAAUUUGAGCUAAUACCGGAUGAUGUCUUCGGACCAAAGAUUUAUCGCCUUUAGAUGGGCCCGCGUAAGAUUAGCUAGUUGGUGGGGUAAAGGCCUACCAAGGCGACGAUCUUUAGCUGGUCUGAGAGGAUGAUCAGCCACACUGGGACUGAGACACGGCCCAGACUCCUACGGGAGGCAGCAGUGGGGAAUAUUGGACAAUGGGCGAAAGCCUGAUCCAGCAAUGCCGCGUGAGUGAUGAAGGCCUUAGGGUUGUAAAGCUCUUUUACCCGAGAUGAUAAUGACAGUAUCGGGAGAAUAAGCUCCGGCUAACUCCGUG
This 463-nucleotide ribosomal RNA is filed under the name uncultured bacterium. Its description in RNAcentral is "bacterial SSU rRNA". It matches the Rfam family "Bacterial small subunit ribosomal RNA", at positions 1 to 507 of the family's 1533-position model. The record is from RNAcentral.